CCCCUUUGCUGCUACAUUGUAU
RNAcentral lists this microRNA (22 nucleotides) under Spodoptera frugiperda (fall armyworm). RNAcentral describes it as "sfr-miR-2756-3p". Lineage: Eukaryota; Metazoa; Arthropoda; Insecta; Lepidoptera; Noctuidae. The record is from miRBase by way of RNAcentral.